AUUGAACGCUGGCGGCAGGCCUAACACAUGCAAGUCGAACGAGUGGCGGACGGGUGAGUAAUGUCUGGGAAACUGCCUGAUGGAGGGGGAUAACUACUGGAAACGGUAGCUAAUACCGCAUACCAUCAGAUGUGCCCAGAUGGGAUUAGCUAGUUGGCGGGGUAACGGCUCACCAAGGCGACGAUCCCUAGCUGGUCUGAGGGGAUGACCAGCCAAACUGGAACUGAGACACGGUCCAAACUCCUACGGGAGGCAGCAGGGGGGAAUAUUGCAAAAGGGGGGCAAGCCGGAUGCAGCCAGGCCGCGUGUAUGAAGAGGGCCUUCGGGUUGUAAAGUACUUUCAGCGGGGAGGCGUAACCCGCAGAAGAAGCACCGGCUAACUCCGUGCCAGCAGCCGCGGUAAAC
RNAcentral lists this ribosomal RNA (405 nucleotides) under uncultured bacterium. RNAcentral's name for it is "partial 16S ribosomal RNA". It matches the Rfam family "Bacterial small subunit ribosomal RNA", at positions 29 to 525 of the family's 1533-position model. The record is from RNAcentral.